Trichophaea hybrida is the source of this 93-nucleotide non-coding RNA. NCBI's taxonomy places the organism in Eukaryota, Fungi, Ascomycota, Pezizomycetes, Pezizales, Pyronemataceae. The record is from the annotation of a GenBank genome assembly.
GGCCGCAUGGCCCAAUGGCAAGGCGCUUGACUACGAUUCAUUCGAAAGCAUAUCGGAAUCAAGAGAUUGCAGGUUCGAUCCCUGCUGUGGUCA